UGAAGAUGACGGCUUCGGGUGUAAACCUCUUUAGCAGGGAAGAAGCGUAAGUGACGGUACUGCAGAAAAAAGCGCCGGCUAACUACGUGCCAGCAGCCGCGGUAAUACGUAUUGGGUUCAGAGUUUUUUCGCGAUAUCAGCCUAUAGAGUUCGUAGGCGGUUGUUGCGUCUGCUGUGAAAUCGCGAGGCUCAACUUCGGGCUUGCAGUGGGUACGGGCAGACUAGAGUGCGGUAGGGGAGAUUGGAAUUCAUGGUGUAGCGGUGGAAUGCGCAGAUAUCAGGAGGAACACCGAUGGGGAAGGCAGAUCUACUGGCAGUUACUGAUGCCGAGGAGCGAAAGGGUGGAGAGCAAACAGCAUUAGAUACCCUGGUAGUCCACCCCGUAAACUCAUGGAAAUAGUGGUGGGGUCCAUUCCACGGUCUCCGCGACGCAGCUAACGCAUUAAGUUCCCCGCCUGGGGAGUACGGCCGCAAGGCUAAAACUCAAAGGAAUUGACGGGGACCCGCACAAGCGGCGGAGCAUGCGGAUUAAUUCGAUGCAACGCGAAGAACCUUACCAAGGCUUGACAUACACCAGAACGGGCCAGAAAUGGUCAACUCUUUGGACCAUGGUGAACAGGUGGUGCAUGGUUGUCGUCAGCUCGUGUCGUGAGACGUUGGGUUAAGUCCCGCAACGAGCGCAACCCUCGUUCUAUGUUGCCAGCACGUUAUGGUGGGAACUCAUGGGAUACUGCCGGGGUCAACUCGGAGGAAGGUGGGGAUGACGUCAAAUCAUCAUGCCCCUUAUGUCAGCACAUUCACGCAUUCACAAUGGCCGGUACAAAGGGCUGCAAUACCGUGAGGUGGAGCGAAUCCCAAAAAGCCGGUCCCAGUUCGGAUUGAGGUCUGCAACUUCACCUCAAGAAGUCGGAGUCGCUAGUAAUCGCAGAUCAGCAACGCUGCGGUGAAUACAUUCCCGGGUCUUGUACACACCGCCCGUCAAGUCAUGAAAGUCGGUAACACCUGA
Molecule: ribosomal RNA, 1006 nt
Filed under: Microbacterium sp.
Lineage: Bacteria; Bacillati; Actinomycetota; Actinomycetes; Micrococcales; Microbacteriaceae
Description: bacterial SSU rRNA
Rfam family: Bacterial small subunit ribosomal RNA
Source: RNAcentral